RNAcentral lists this ribosomal RNA (443 nucleotides) under uncultured Prevotella sp. RNAcentral's name for it is "bacterial SSU rRNA". It matches the Rfam family "Bacterial small subunit ribosomal RNA", at positions 355 to 794 of the family's 1533-position model. Lineage: Bacteria; Pseudomonadati; Bacteroidota; Bacteroidia; Bacteroidales; Prevotellaceae. The record is from RNAcentral.
UGAGGAAUAUUGGUCAAUGGGCGGAAGCCUGAACCAGCCAAGUAGCGUGAGGGAUGACUGCCCUAUGGGUUGUAAACCUCUUUUAUAAGGGAAUAAAAUACGGGACGUGUCCUGUUUUGCAUGUACCUUAUGAAUAAGGACCGGCUAAUUCCGUGCCAGCAGCCGCGGUAAUACGGAAGGUCCGGGCGUUAUCCGGAUUUAUUGGGUUUAAAGGGAGCGCAGGCCGGGUAUUAAGCGUGUUGUGAAAUGUAGGCGCCCCAACGUCUGCACCGCAGCGCGAACUGGUGCCCUUGAGUACGCACGACGUUGGCGGAAUUCGCCGUGUAGCGGUGAAAUGCUUAGAUAUGGCGAAGAACUCCGAUUGCGAAGGCAGCUGACGGGAGCGCUACUGACGCUCAUGCUCGAAAGCGCGGGUAUCGAACAGGAUUAGAUACCCUGGUAGU